GACGAACGCUGGCGGCGUGCCUAACACAUGCAAGUCGAACGGGGUGUUCCUUCGGGGACACUUAGUGGCGAACGGGUGAGUAACGCGUGAGAAACCUGCCUUUCAGUGGGGGACAACAGUUGGAAACGACUGCUAAUACCGCAUAAUGUUUCGAGAGGGCAUCCUUUUGAAACCAAAGCUUUAUGUGCUGAAAGAUGGUCUCGCGUCUGAUUAGCUAGUUGGUGAGGUAACGGCUCACCAAGGCGACGAUCAGUAGCCGGUCUGAGAGGAUGAACGGCCACAUUGGGACUGAGAUACGGCCCAGACUCCUACGGGAGGCAGCAGUGGGGAAUAUUGGGCAAUGGGGGAAACCCUGACCCAGCAACGCCGCGUGAAGGAAGAAGGCCUUCGGGUUGUAAACUUCUUUUACCUAGGACGAAGAACGUGACGGUACCUGGAGAAAAAGACAACGGCGUAACUACGUGCCAGCA
Molecule: ribosomal RNA, 470 nt
Filed under: uncultured bacterium
Lineage: Bacteria
Description: bacterial SSU rRNA
Rfam family: Bacterial small subunit ribosomal RNA
Source: RNAcentral